Molecule: ribosomal RNA, 655 nt
Filed under: uncultured bacterium
Lineage: Bacteria
Description: partial 16S ribosomal RNA
Rfam family: Bacterial small subunit ribosomal RNA
Source: RNAcentral
ACGGYARCRCGGGGGCAACCCUGGYGRCGAGUGGCGAACGGGUGAGUAAURCAUCGGAACGUGCCCAGUAGUGGGGGAUAGCYCGGCGAAAGCCGGAUUAAUACCGCAUACGACCUACGGGUGAAAGSGGGGGAUCGCAAGACCUCKCGCUAUUGGAGCGGCCGAUGUCAGAUUAGGUWGUUGGUGGGGUAAAGGCCUACCAAGCCGACGAUCUGUAGCUGGUCUGAGAGGACGACCAGCCACACUGGGACUGAGACACGGCCCAGACUCCUACGGGAGGCAGCAGUGGGGAAUUUUGGACAAUGGGCGMAAGCCUGAUCCAGCCAUGCCGCGUGCGGGARGAAGGCCUUCGGGUUGUAAACCGCUUUUGUCAGGGAAGAAAUCUUCYGAGUUAAUACCUCGRGAGGAUGACGGUACCUGAAGAAUAAGCACCGGCUAACUACGUGCCAGCAGCCGCGGUAAUACGUAGGGUGCAAGCGUUAAUCGGAAUUACUGGGCGUAAAGCGUGCGCAGGCGGUUAUGCAAGACAGRUGUGAAAUCCCCGGGCUYAACCUGGGAACUGCAUUUGUGACUGCAUAGCUGGAGUGCGGCAGAGGGGGAUGGAAUUCCGCGUGUAGCAGUGAAAUGCGUAGAUAUGCGGAGGAACACCGAUGGC